This 1217-nucleotide ribosomal RNA is filed under the name Hypoxylon officinalis. Its description in RNAcentral is "Hypoxylon sp. XVM-2021d partial large subunit ribosomal RNA". It matches the Rfam family "Eukaryotic large subunit ribosomal RNA", at positions 78 to 1446 of the family's 3401-position model. The record is from RNAcentral. Lineage: Eukaryota; Fungi; Ascomycota; Sordariomycetes; Xylariales; Hypoxylaceae.
CCCUAGUAACGGCGAGUGAAGCGGCAACAGCUCAAAUUUGAAAUCUGGCCCUCGUGGUCCGAGUUGUAAUUUGUAGAGGAUGCUUUUGGCGCGGCGCCUUCCGAGUUCCCUGGAACGGGACGCCAGAGAGGGUGAGAGCCCCGUACGGUUGGACGCCUAGCCUAUAUAUAGCUCCUUCGACGAGUCGAGUAGUUUGGGAAUGCUGCUCUAAAUGGGAGGUAAAUUUCUUCUAAAGCUAAAUACCGGCCAGAGACCGAUAGCGCACAAGUAGAGUGAUCGAAAGAUGAAAAGCACUUUGAAAAGAGGGUUAAAUAGCACGUGAAAUUGUUGAAAGGGAAGCGUUUGCGACCAGACUUUUUCCAGGCGGAUCAUCCGGUGUUCUCACCGGUGCACUUCGCCUGGUUUAGGCCAGCAUCGGUUCUCCUAGGGGGAUAAAGGCAGGGGGAAAGUAGCUCCUUCGGGAGUGUUAUAGCCCCCUGCGUAAUACCCCUCGGGGGACCGAGGACCGCGCUUCGGCAAGGAUGCUGGCGUAAUGGUCGUCAACGACCCGUCUUGAAACACGGACCAAGGAGUCGAACAUUUGUGCGAGUGUUUGGGUGUUAAACCCUCACGCGUAAUGAAAGUGAACGGAGGUGAGAGCCCUUACGGGUGCAUCAUCGACCGAUCCUGAUGUCUUCGGAUGGAUUUGAGUAAGAGCAUAACUGUUCGGACCCGAAAGAUGGUGAACUAUGCGUGGAUAGGGUGAAGCCAGAGGAAACUCUGGUGGAGGCUCGCAGCGGUUCUGACGUGCAAAUCGAUCGUCAAAUCUGCGCAUGGGGGCGAAAGACUUAUCGAACCAUUAAACCAGCGGUAAAUUUUAGUUUACUAGGUGGUUAAGAGGUCCCCCGGGAGGGGGGCCUAGGUCGUCGGGCCAGCCUACCCUGGAGCUACCCUGCAGAGGGGGCGCCAGGGGCGGCUGGCCCAGCCGACACCGCUAAAUUGCGGGGACGUCCUACAGAAGGCCACGGGCUACCGCCGGGCGCUGAAAAGCGAGCCGGCACCAAGAAUAGCGCUCUUGGGCAUGGUAAUAACGCCUGUGGUAGCGGACGACCUGCAGCCAACCCCGCAGCUUUAGGGGAGAGUUCACUGACUAAACAGCGGUGGGUUGGCGCUUCUCGCGCCAGCCUAAGACAUAGUCGAUCCGGCGCCCGAAAGGGCGCCUACCCUACAGGUGACUA